CAUAUUUUAUGAUUCUAUUUACCUGAAACGUCCAUGCAGGCAAAUCCACAGAAUGAGAAAGUGGGUUAGUGUUUGCCAAGGGCGGGAGAGGGGAAAACAGGAAGUGACUGCUCAUGGAUGUGGGCUUUCUUCUUUGGGGUGAUGAAACAUUCUGGGAUUAGUGGUGACGGUUGCAAAACCUUGUGACAUAUUAAAAACUUAAUUGGAUACUUUAAAAGGGUGAAUUUUAUGGUACGCUAAUUACAUCUCAAAAAAAAUUGUGAGGUGGAACUAUAAAAAGAAGCUAAAUGUACACAUCAUAACAUACGUACCAUCAAAGAGAGACGACAGGAAACCAAUUACAUUAACUUGAAAAUCACUGCUGGACAUUGGCAUUUACAUUCAUAAUAACAAAUAUGAAAAGUACUGAAUUUUACUGCCAUAAACUGAAUACCAACAUAAAGAAAAUCGAGAGGAAAAAUUAAUUUGAUUUCCAUGAAAAAUGUCCAAGGAUAAAUAUUUGCUUUCUUCCCAGUAUCUUAGCUGGUUGGAGGCUGAGCUCCCCAGAGCAGAUAUAAGAGCCUUUACGUUAGAUCUGCCAACAGCAGACAGACUUGAAAGAAUUCCAGUGUUAGAACCUGAGCCUCCGACGCAGCCUUUGGGAAAUGGUAAUGGAUUCUCUCCCAGCAAGCACGUCACCGCGGAUGAGCAUUCCACUGUGAUAACGACAAAGUAACAGGGUAGAACUUUCAAUUACCAGCAUCUCAACCUUAGAGACUGGAUGAACAUUUUCUAUAAGGCUUUUCUUGGAUUCCUUGAAUGAAUACGUGUGACUCUAAAUGAACAGUUUUUCCAAAUAAACACAGCUCACGUUAAGAAUACUGAAUCACGGGGCUGGCCCCGUGGCCGAGUGGUUAAGUUCGCGCGCUCUGCUGCAGGCGGCCCAGUGUUUCGUUGGUUCGAAUCCUGGGCGCGGACAUGGCACUGCUCAUCAAACCACGCUGAGGCAGCGCCCCACAUGCCACAACUAGAAGAACCCACAACGAAGAAUACACAACUAUGUACCGGGGG
RNAcentral lists this long non-coding RNA (1050 nucleotides) under Equus asinus (donkey). RNAcentral's name for it is "lncRNA (ENSEASG00005035027.1)". The record is from RNAcentral. Lineage: Eukaryota; Metazoa; Chordata; Mammalia; Perissodactyla; Equidae.